GACGAACGCUGGCGGCGUGCUUAACACAUGCAAGUCGAACGGAAAGGCCCUGCUUUUGUGGGGGUGCUCGAGUGGCGAACGGGUGAGUAACACGUGAGUAACCUGCCCUUGACUUUGGGAUAACUUCAGGAAACUGGGGCUAAUACCGGAUAGGAGCUCCUGCUGCAUGGUGGGGGUUGGAAAGUUUCGGCGGUUGGGGAUGGACUCGCGGCUUAUCAGCUUGUUGGUGGGGUAGUGGCUUACCAAGGCUUUGACGGGUAGCCGGCCUGAGAGGGUGACCGGCCACAUUGGGACUGAGAUACGGCCCAGACUCCUACGGGAGGCAGCAGUGGGGAAUAUUGCACAAUGGGCGGAAGCCUGAUGCAGCAACGCCGCGUGCGGGAUGACGGCCUUAGGGUUGUAAACCGCUUUCGCCUGUGACGAAGCGUGAGUGACGGUAAUGGGUAAAGAAGCACCGGCUAACUACGUG
RNAcentral lists this ribosomal RNA (469 nucleotides) under uncultured bacterium. Its description in RNAcentral is "partial 16S ribosomal RNA". It matches the Rfam family "Bacterial small subunit ribosomal RNA", at positions 28 to 507 of the family's 1533-position model. The record is from RNAcentral.